GAUGAACGCUGGCGGCGUGCCUAAUACAUGCAAGUCGAGCGAACAGACGAGGAGCUUGCUCCUCUGAUGUUAGCGGCGGACGGGUGAGUAACACGUGGAUAACCUACCUAUAGGACUGGGAUAACUUCGGGAAACCGGAGCUAAUACCGGAUAACAUGUUGAACCGCAUGGUUCAACAGUGAAAGACGGUCUUGCUGUCACUUAUAGAUGGAUCCGCGCCGCAUUAGCUAGUUGGUAAGGUAACGGCUUACCAAGGCAACGAUGCGUAGCCGACCUGAGAGGGUGAUCGGCCACACUGGAACUGAGACACGGUCCAGACUCCUACGGGAGGCAGCAGUAGGGAAUCUUCCGCAAUGGGCGAAAGCCUGACGGAGCAACGCCGCGUGAGUGAAGAAGGUCUUCGGAUCGUAAAACUCUGUUAUUAGGGAAGAACAAAUGUGUAAGUAACUAUGCACGUCUUGACGGUACCUAAUCAGAAAGCCACGGCUAACUACGUG
This 497-nucleotide ribosomal RNA is filed under the name uncultured bacterium. Its description in RNAcentral is "partial 16S ribosomal RNA". It matches the Rfam family "Bacterial small subunit ribosomal RNA", at positions 28 to 507 of the family's 1533-position model. The record is from RNAcentral.